Molecule: non-coding RNA, 797 nt
Filed under: Aedes albopictus (Asian tiger mosquito)
Lineage: Eukaryota; Metazoa; Arthropoda; Insecta; Diptera; Culicidae
Source: RNAcentral
AUAAAAUUAUUAUUUUAUUUUAGUUAAUAUUUUUGUUAUUAUUUUAUUUUACAUGUAAAUUUUUGUAUGAAUUAAAUUAAUUUUUAAAAAAUUAAAUUUAUAAAUAUUUAUUCGCAGUAAUUAAUAUUAAUUAAAAAAGAAAUUUUGUAUUAGUAAUAAUAUAUAGUAUUGGUAAAAUUUGUGCCAGCUACCGCGGUUAUACAAAUAAUACAAAUAAAAAUUUUUAGUAUUAGUUAAAUGAUUAAAUUUAUAAUAUAAAUUUAAAUUUAUUAGGUGAAAUUUUUAAAUUUAUUUAUUUAUUAUUAUUAAAAAUAAUUUAAGCUAUAAACUUUUUAUAAUAAACUAGGAUUAGAUACCCUAUUAUUAAAAAUAAAUAUUUAAAUGCUAAAGUAGUAUUAGUUAUAUUCUUAAAAUUUAAAAAAUUUGGCGGUGUUUUAGUCUAUUUAGAGGAAUCUGUUCUGUAAUUGAUAAUUCACAUUGAACCUUACUUAAAUUUGUUUAAUUUGUAUAUCGCCGUCAUCAGAAUAUGUUAUAAGAUAAAAAUUUUCUAAAAAUUUAAUUUAAUAAAAUGUCAGGUCAAGGUGCAGUUUAUAUUUAAGUAGAAAUGGAUUACAAUAAUUUUAUUUAAAUGGAUAAUUUUUUGAAAUAAAGAUUUGAAGGUGGAUUUAAUAGUAAUAUAAAAGAGAUUAUUUAUAUGAUUUUAGCUCUAAAACAUGCACAUAUCGCCCAUCGUUCUUAUUUUUAAAAUAAGAUAAGUUGUAACAUAGUAGAUGUACUGGAAAGUGUAUCUAGAAAGA